GGGACACGUGAAACCCUGUGGGAAGCAGGAGGGACCACCCUCCAAGGCUAAAUACUACCUAGUGACCGAUAGCGUAUAGUACCGUGAGGGAAAGGUGAAAAGAACCCCGGGAGGGGAGUGAAAUAGAGCCUGAAACCCUGCACUUACAAGCUGUGGAAGCACAUUUCUUGUGUGACCGCGUACUUUUUGUAGAACGGGCCAACGAGUUACGUUAAGUAGCAAGGUUAAGCACUUAAGGUG
This 240-nucleotide ribosomal RNA is filed under the name Clostridioides difficile. RNAcentral describes it as "partial 23S ribosomal RNA". It matches the Rfam family "Bacterial large subunit ribosomal RNA", at positions 419 to 660 of the family's 2925-position model. The record is from RNAcentral. Lineage: Bacteria; Bacillati; Bacillota; Clostridia; Peptostreptococcales; Peptostreptococcaceae.